CGGGUACUCGAGUGGCGAACGGGUGAGUAACACGUGGGUAACCUGCCCCCAUCUCUGGGAUAACCGUUGGAAACGGCGGCUAAUACCGGAUACGACCACCUUCCGCAUGGUUGGUGGUGGAAAGUUUUUGCGGUUGGGGAGGGGCCCGCGGCCUAUCAGCUUGUUGGUGCGGUAGUGGCGCACCAAGGCUUUGACGGGUAGCCGGCCUGAGAGGGCGGUCGGUCACAUUGGGACUGAGAUACGGCCCAGACUCCUACGGGAGGCAGCAGUGGGGAAUUUUGCACAAUGGGCGGAAGCCUGAUGCAGCGACGCCGCGUGAGGGAUGACGGCUUUCGGGUUGUAAACCUCUUUUAUCCACCACGAAGGCUCCGUAUUCGCGGGGUUGACGGUAGUGGUUGAAUAAGCGCCGGCUAACUACGUGCCAGCAGCCGCGGUAAGACGUAGGGCGCGAGCGUUGUCCGGAUUUAUUGGGCGUAAAGGGCUCGUAGGCGGUUGAUUGCGUCCGCCGUGAAAGGCCUCGGCUUAACCGGGGUUUUGCGGUGGAUACGGGUCGACUUGAGGCAAUUAGGGGAGAUCGGAAUUCUACGUGUAGCGGUGAAAUGCGCAGAUAUGUGGAGGAACACCGGUGGCGAAGGCGGAUCUCUGGGAUUGUUCUGACGCUGAGGAGCGAAAGCGUGGGGAGCGAACAGGAUUAGAUACCCUGGUAGUCCAUGCUGUAAACGGUGGGCGCUAGGUGUGGGGUCACGUUGGUUGAUUCUGUGCCGUAGCUAACGCAUUAAGCGCCCCGCCUGGGGAGUACGGCCGCAAGGCUAAAACUCAAAGGAAUUGACGGGGGCCCGCACAAGCGGCGGAGCAUGCGGAUUAAUUCGAUGCAACGCGAAGAACCUUACCUAGGUUUGACAUCACCCGGAAACCUCUAGAGAUAGAGGCCUCUUCGGACUGGGUGACAGUG
This 952-nucleotide ribosomal RNA is filed under the name Glycomyces sp. J3GA12. Its description in RNAcentral is "bacterial SSU rRNA". It matches the Rfam family "Bacterial small subunit ribosomal RNA", at positions 84 to 1039 of the family's 1533-position model. Lineage: Bacteria; Bacillati; Actinomycetota; Actinomycetes; Glycomycetales; Glycomycetaceae. The record is from RNAcentral.